GAAGAUAAGAUUUCCCAAACGAUUAAGUUUUAAAUUUCUUAGUAUCGAAACCCUAGCAAAUUGGUUCGUCUCUUUCGAACUCUCUAGUCACUUUAGUAUCGCCGAUUUCCAUAAGAUCCGAUCUCUCGGUUGAGAAAAAUGGGACGUCCUCGUCACCCUCAUUGUCAUCCCCAUCGUCAUCCAAGGGGAUCCCCGCCGAGCUUAGUCUUCGAAGCGACCAAUUCCCGUGGGAGAUGUUUGACUACACGAAUCAGGAAGACAAGCCGAAGAAAGAGAGUGCUCACGUACGAGCGAUGGUGGAAGCGUCUGUAGACGGGGUGUGGAAGGAGCUCUACUCUUUAUUCCCGCCGAAAGUGGGAGAGUCAUCAACUGAUCAACCAAAGGAAGGAUAUACAGAGAGGGACGACGAACUACUUGUUAAGCGGUUGUGCGACUUCAUGAAAGGAGGUGAUUGCAAAGAAUCAUUUAAGGCUUUGGAAGAUUGCGCGAAGGAAACUGGUGGUCUUGUUAAGUGUAUAAGAUAAAGUGUGUAGAUGCCCACUCUAAUUACUAUAAGCCUGUUAUCACGCUGGCUGAAUCUUCGAUGGAACAGUUGGCCAAGGACUU
Molecule: long non-coding RNA, 606 nt
Organism: Arabidopsis thaliana (thale cress)
Lineage: Eukaryota; Viridiplantae; Streptophyta; Magnoliopsida; Brassicales; Brassicaceae
Product: other RNA
Exons: 1
Source: RefSeq